Molecule: transfer RNA, 71 nt
Filed under: Oryzias latipes (Japanese medaka)
Lineage: Eukaryota; Metazoa; Chordata; Actinopteri; Beloniformes; Adrianichthyidae
Description: tRNA-His
Rfam family: tRNA
About the family: Transfer RNA (tRNA) molecules are approximately 80 nucleotides in length. Their secondary structure includes four short double-helical elements and three loops (D, anti-codon, and T loops).
Source: RNAcentral
GUAGAUGUAGUAUAAAACUAAAACGCUAGAUUGUGAUUCUAGAAACAAGAGUUAAAUUCUCUUCAUCCACC